Molecule: ribosomal RNA, 292 nt
Filed under: uncultured bacterium
Lineage: Bacteria
Description: partial 16S ribosomal RNA
Rfam family: Bacterial small subunit ribosomal RNA
Source: RNAcentral
GUGUCAGCAGCCGCGGUAAGACGAACCGUGCGAACGUUGUUCGGAAUCACUGGGCUUAAAGGGCGCGUAGGCGGGUCACCAAGUCCGGGGUGAAAUCUUUCGGCUUAACCGGAAAAUAGCCUUGGAUACUGGUGGUCUCGAGCGAGGUAGGGGCAGCUGGAACUUCCGGUGGAGCGGUGAAAUGCGUUGAUAUCGGAAGGAACGCCGGUGGCGAAAGCGAGCUGCUGGACCUCUUCUGACGCUGAGGCGCGAAAGCCAGGGGAGCAAACGGGAUUAGAUACCCCCGUAGUCC